Molecule: transfer RNA, 73 nt
Filed under: Canis lupus familiaris (dog)
Lineage: Eukaryota; Metazoa; Chordata; Mammalia; Carnivora; Canidae
Also listed under: 2 other names
Rfam family: tRNA
About the family: Transfer RNA (tRNA) molecules are approximately 80 nucleotides in length. Their secondary structure includes four short double-helical elements and three loops (D, anti-codon, and T loops).
Source: Rfam by way of RNAcentral
GGCAGAAUAGUAGAGUGGUUAGAAUGAUGGGCUCUGAAGCCAGAUGACCUGGGUUUGAAUCUCAGCUCUGUUA